Long non-coding RNA from Heterocephalus glaber (naked mole-rat), 1008 nucleotides. The record is from Ensembl. NCBI's taxonomy places the organism in Eukaryota, Metazoa, Chordata, Mammalia, Rodentia, Bathyergidae.
CCUGAUUUCCAGCCAGAGUUGAUGAGGACUGCAUGGAAGGAAGACUAAUCCAGACCACUGUGCUCCACCUGCACCCAGACUGCAGUCGCAAGGAUUCUCCACUCCAUGGCUGAUUGUGUCACUGCUAGUCGACAGCUGUCCCGCAUCCAGAGAGGACUGGGAUUGAUUUAGCCUUUACUCCUGCAGGUAGAGCAGCGUGGCGUACGAAGCCCCCAAACUGUACACACGCGUGGUGGGCGACCAGCCGUGCCCCGUCAGAGGCAGUUUGGUGACCAGGCUCCGAGCAGUACCUGGUCAGCUGAAUAUGCACGCUAGAAGCCAUCGUGUACAAUCAGACUGCAUCUCGGCUCCUGGCUAAACAAAGAUUCCAGUAGUCCCAGGAACCUGCUUUGCUGACUCCUUUUAAAACCUAGUGGGAAAAGAGUCCCAACUGAUACAAUCCAGGAAGCUUUUCUGUAACCCCUUGGAGACAUUUAUAUUGUGAAGAAAAUUGAGCUUCAGGAAAAGGUGCGGGUAUCUUACUGUGGAAUUUCCAGCACCAAGUCUCCAGGUUGUCCUGAAAUCACAUGCUACCAAGGACUGAGGAAUGCUAAUUCUCAACUGCAAAUAUUGACUUACAGACCAUAUAGCAAAGAAUAAGCAAAGAGAGGGUUGUGGGAAAAUGGACAAAACUCUAUGAAAGAAAGUCAAUCAAAACCCUAUAUGGCUAAUACAUUUCAGUUAAUUUGAGAUAUUUAUUCAGAAGAAUAAGGCACACAUUUUAUUUUUCAUUUGCAUUUUGGAAAGAGAACCCAGUGAGGAGGUGGCUUUCAAUGCCUGUUAUAGUUUGAAUCUGAAAUGUCUCCCAGAAGUUCUCGUGUUAAAUGGUGGGUCCACAGCUGAUGGCACUGCUGUAUUAGGAGGUAGUGGAACCUUUAGGAGGUGGGGUCUCGUGGCAGGAAGUAAGGUUAUUGGGGGCUUGGUCUUAUAGGGGAUAUUGGGACCUUGGCCCCUUCCUCUCUUUUUCUU